GUAGAGCACUUGGUUUGGGACCAAGGGGUCGCAGGUUCGAAUCCUGUCUUCCCGA
Carnobacterium divergens DSM 20623 is the source of this 55-nucleotide transfer RNA. It matches the Rfam family "tRNA", at positions 18 to 71 of the family's 71-position model. From Rfam's summary of the family: Transfer RNA (tRNA) molecules are approximately 80 nucleotides in length. Their secondary structure includes four short double-helical elements and three loops (D, anti-codon, and T loops). Further hydrogen bonds mediate the characteristic L-shaped molecular structure. tRNAs have two regions of fundamental functional importance: the anti-codon, which is responsible for specific mRNA codon recognition, and the 3' end, to which the tRNAs corresponding amino acid is attached (by aminoacyl-tRNA synthetases). tRNAs cope with the degeneracy of the genetic code in two manners: having more than one tRNA (with a specific anti-codon) for a particular amino acid; and 'wobble' base-pairing, i.e. permitting non-standard base-pairing at the 3rd anti-codon position. NCBI's taxonomy places the organism in Bacteria, Bacillati, Bacillota, Bacilli, Lactobacillales, Carnobacteriaceae. The record is from Rfam.